UCCGGAGAAAAAUAAACGUGAUUAACCAGCUGUUGAUGACGUCAUGCGAGUUUUUGGGUGCUUGCUGACAGCAGGCUCCCAUAGAAACAUUGUGAAAUCAUCUGAUCCUGAUACCAACCUCUCAGGGGCAUUACCUCUCAUUUUGUUGUACCUUUCAAGUGCUACCUUUUUCAUUUCCUCAGGAGAUGCGAAGUGUUUAUUAGUGUGAUCAAAAGCUCCACUUCGAAGAACAUAUUCAGUGCUCAAUGCUAGAGAAUUUACCCAAUGUCCAUGACCCUUCAAUUCACGUAUCAGCUUCCCUUGCGUGGUUUCCCAUACCUUGAUUGUACAGUCUUGAGAUCCCGUGUAUAUAACUCCAUCUCCACCCCAUUUUACACAUGUUAUUGCAAGUGUAUGGCCAGUGAGACAAAUGAGACACUUCCUUGUGGUAACAUCCCAUAUCCGUGCAUCGCCAUCUUUACUUGCACUUACAAAGCGGCGACAUGGAGCACUGAGGUGUACAGGUUCCCAAGAAAUACCAGUUAUCCAUUUCUUGUGGCCAGUAAGCGGAUUCCCUAAAGGCUUCCCAGUCUGAAGGUCCCAACAGAUAAGUUCUCCAGCCUUGCUUCCACUAACAAGAUGCUUACCAUCUGGCGACCAUGCAACAGAAAGAACCCAAUUUCUGUGCCCUGUUUCUUUUCACUUUUCUUUUUGUUGCGUAGCAACUGCAAUAUAUUUGGUUAUACAGGUAGCUUGCAGACUCAUAACUAGUAUUUGAUGCUGAAAUUUCAAAAGGAAAGAACAGGCAAUCCCUUGACAUGUAAACAACGGUGUCUGGGUAUUUAGAUCCCACAAACGAACUGUAGUGUCACCAGAUCCACUUGCCAACUGUCGUCCAUCAGGACUGAAGGCAACUGAAAGAACAGCUUCAGUAUGACCAGCAAUUGUGGCCGAACAACGAGUGACAGGGCGGAUUCGAAACACUGCUUGUGGUUGAUAAACUAUGGUCAAGACUUUUUCCACAGACACUUUAUUCUUCUCUAAGUAUGAUCCAAGCUGCACCACAAGCUCUUCAUCUGAGAUAUAAAAUGCAUAAGGCAACUUUUCCUCAUUGCUGAG
This 1098-nucleotide unclassified non-coding RNA is filed under the name Hevea brasiliensis (rubber tree). Lineage: Eukaryota; Viridiplantae; Streptophyta; Magnoliopsida; Malpighiales; Euphorbiaceae. The record is from RNAcentral.